AUGAGAUUAAAAUUAUUAAAUAUAAUUUUAUCAAUAAUAAAUAAACUUAAUAAUAAUAAUAAUAUUAUUAUUAAUAAUCUAUUAGAUUCAUUAAUAAAUAAGAAAUUAUUAUUAAAGAAUAUAUUAUUAGAUAUAAAUAAUAAAAAAAUAAAUAAUAUAAAAAGAAUAUUAAAUAAUAAUAAUAUAAAUAUUAAUAAUAAAUUACAACAUUUAAAUAAUAUAAAUAAUUGAAAUCUACAAAUUUAUAAUUAUAAUAAAAAUAUAGAAAUUAUAAAUACUAUAAAUGAUAAAUUAAUUAAUAAAUUAUUAUAUAAAAUAAUAACUUUAAAAUUAAAUAAUAUAAAUAUUAAUAAAAUUAUUAUAAGUAAACUUAUUAAUCAACAUAGUUUAAAUAAAUUAAAUAUUAAAUUUUAUUAUUAUAAUAAUGAUAUUAAUAAUAAUAAUAAUAAUAAUAAUAAUAAUAAUAAUAAUAAUUAUUAUAUAAAUAUAAUAAAUAAAUUAAUAAAUAUUAUAAAUAAUAAUAUAAAUAAUAAUUUAUGUAAUAUUUUAAGUUAUUAUUAUAAUAAAAAAGUAACUAUUGAACCUAUUAAAUUAUCAUAUAUUUAUUUAAAUAGUGAUAUUUUUAGUAAAUAUAUUAGUUUAAAUGAUAUAGAUAAAUAUAAUAAUGGUAUCUUAACUAAUUAUCAACGUAUAUUAAAUAAUAUUAUGCCUAAAUUAAAUGAUCAUAAUAUUUCUAUAAAUUAUAUUAAUAAUAUUAAUAAUAUUAAUAAUAAUAAAUAUAAUAAUAUAAUUAAUUUAUUAAAUAAUAAUAAUAAUAUUAAUAAUUAUAAUAAUUAUAAUAAUUAUAAUAAUAAUAAUAAUAAUAAUAAUUAUAUUGGUAAUAUUAAUAAUAUUUAUAAUAAUAUAACUAUUGAUAAUAUUCCUAUAGAUAUUUUAAUAUAUAAAUAUUUAGUUGGUUGAUCUAUUAAAUUUAAAGGUAGAUUAAGUAAUAAUAAUGGUAGAACUAGUACACUUAAUUUAUUAAAUGGUACUUUUAAUAAUAAAAAAUAUUUAUGAAGUAAUAUUAAUAAUAAUUAUAAAUUAAAUUAUAUCCCUUCUAAUCAUAAUUUAUAUAAUAAUUCUAAUAUUAAUAAAAAUGGUAAAUAUAAUAUUAAAGUUAAAUUAAACUUUAUUUAA
This 1176-nucleotide ribosomal RNA is filed under the name Saccharomyces cerevisiae (brewer's yeast). Lineage: Eukaryota; Fungi; Ascomycota; Saccharomycetes; Saccharomycetales; Saccharomycetaceae. The record is from RNAcentral.